Molecule: transfer RNA, 62 nt
Filed under: Proknekalia peringueyi
Lineage: Eukaryota; Metazoa; Arthropoda; Arachnida; Ixodida; Argasidae
Description: Argas peringueyi tRNA-Ser
Source: RNAcentral
GAUUUCUUAACUAUAAAAGUAUGUAUUUUGAAAAUAUUUAAAAGGAAAAUUCCUAGAAAUCU